CCUACGGGAGGCAGCAGUGAGGAAUAUUGGUCAAUGGCCGUAAGGCUGAACCAGCCAAGUAGCGUGAGGGAAGACUGCCCUAUGGGUUGUAAACCUCUUUUAUGCGGGGACAAAGGUGUCCACGCGUGGAUGUUUGCAGGUACCGCAUGAAUUAGGACCGGCUAAUCCCGGUCCAGCAGCCGCGGUAAUACGGAAGGUUGGGGCGUUAUCCGGAUUUAUUGGGUUUAAAGGGAGCGUAGGCCGGUCUUUAAGCGUGCCGUGAAAUUUUGUGGCUCAACCAUGGGAGGGCGGCGGGAACUGGGGACCUUGAGUGGGCGGGAGGCAGGCGGAAUUCGUGGUGUAGCGGUGAAAUGCUUAGAUAUCACGAAGAACCCCGAUUGCGAAGGCAGCCUGCCGCAGCGUUACUGACGCUGAGGCUCGAAAGCGCGGGGAUCGAACAGGAUUAGAUACCCGAGUAGUC
RNAcentral lists this ribosomal RNA (460 nucleotides) under uncultured bacterium. RNAcentral's name for it is "partial 16S ribosomal RNA". It matches the Rfam family "Bacterial small subunit ribosomal RNA", at positions 338 to 795 of the family's 1533-position model. The record is from RNAcentral.